Neofelis nebulosa (Clouded leopard) is the source of this 2693-nucleotide long non-coding RNA. RefSeq lists it as uncharacterized. The record is from RefSeq and is a predicted model, not a curated record. Lineage: Eukaryota; Metazoa; Chordata; Mammalia; Carnivora; Felidae. The transcript has 2 exons.
GCACUGGAAUGUCAAGCCUGUCUGAAGGGCAUCUGGUUCAGCCGUUUUGAGGUGGAGGGAGGGGAGGGGGAGACCCUCAGGGAGGGAGCAAAGAGGAAACCGCAUCAUCGAGAUGAGCACUUCCUGUUGGUGUGAACAUCUCUCUCCUCUUCCACCCGGAAGAUCCGAGAGGCCGCGGUGGGUCUGAGGCUGAUGUGCAGAUUCGUCCACUGGCCUCUUUCCCACUCCAGUGGAGCAAACAGUGUUGCAGAUGGGGAAGGUGGGCUUCGACAGCACCCAGUUAAGCUGAUGGUCACACUUGACACCCUGGGAUGAAGCAAAGCAGGCCACCUGGCAGGUGAUCCAUCCCAAGGGCGCCCAGAAGGCCCAUUCCCGGCCCUGGGCUGCAUUACACUCCCAGGCAGGAGAACGUCUUCUUGCUAUGUUGCCAGCCACCAGCAUGUGUAGACUCGUAUCCUUUUCAUUAACCACAAGGGCAAGGUCAGCCAUGUGAGCAAGCAGGGUAGUGGCUUGUGGUCGGUCAUGGGGGAAGAGGGUGAUUUCAUGGAAACCAAGAAGCCUUCUUGUUCCAGGAACAUUACACCAACCUGCCAGCUGAACCCUGCAAAUCCACAGCUCCUUGAUUGGCUAAGCAGGGGCUUUGAACUAACUCCAUUAUUCAAAGUGAAGACACCCCUGGGGAGAGACAGCAGCAGCAGUACCAGAUAAAACUUCGUAUCAAUAAUUUAGCAGAGAGGAGAUUUUGAUAGGAUACAGGAAAAGGGAUCCAGAAAUGAAAUAAAGUGUGCAAGGCAAUUGUUCCUUCCUUCCUUGUUUUUGCUGAGUUCGUGAGCCUAGGUGCAAGGUGAGGAAAGGUCUUGUAUUCUCCCCGGCUCCCUGGCUUCCCCUCCCCUACAGGACGAACCUCCUGCUUCAUAAUGGGCAACAAGCUAGACCAUGGAUGAGACUCUGUGGGCGUGUCUCUUACACAAAGGGGCGGGGCCCACCUACCACCGCCCACAAAUGACCAAACAGACACAAAGGAGUGCUGACCUAGGAUCGUGAGGGAAGGGUGAGGUUAUAGAGACUUCAGGAGCUCCAGAAAAGCAUGGAGCUCGAGGCAGGAAGAAAAGGAGGGCACUAGAUGGGAAGAAAGGAAGCCAGACGGGAAUUUUUGAAGAGGUAGAUUCCAACAACCUAUUUACAAGUCACAUAUCCACUCUUUCAAGAAGUAACAGUUGAAAUACAUAAAAUACCAUCAAAAUCCCCUGUUUACUGUUAGCUCCAAUGAAUAGAGGAGGACAGGAUUUGGCAACAAGGUUUUAUGAAGUUCCUUUUGUUUCUGUCACUUAACUCCGUGCUUACAGGAAUAAAACAGAGACUAGUGAGCACACUACAGAGGAAAUACGUAUCCUAUUUCAAGGUCAACUACUAAUGGCUAGAAAGAGUUUUACUGUGUCCCUCCAGAGAUGUCAAAACUUAAAUAAUGGAAGCAGAAUUUCCUUGAUUCUUCUCUGAUGGAGAGUUUUUCUUAAUGACUGGUGUUUUACAGCUUGGGUAGUCUGAACUGAUCAUGAAAACACAUCAAAAGUAUGGAAUCAAUACUAAAAGUUUUUAAAAGUACCACCAGGCAAAGACGGGUCUGUCUACUGCGCUGUCUCGGAACUAGAACACAAAACCAAAUUAUCUUUACCUACGAUGGAAAUCACGCCAAAUAUCUUCCCUUCGGUCAGCCCAUGAUCUAAAUCGGACUGCCUCCCCUCCCCCUAAGUUUGUAAAGAGUCCCCCACAGCUGCUACUGGUAUGGAAGAAUAUUAUCCUAUAGCGUCGAUGUCAUCAUCGUUUAGAAGCCAGGUCACAGUUUUAAAACCAGGAAGCAUCUGUAGCAUAUAAAAUUACUUUUAACUUCUGAGGCUUCCAGGCCUAGAGCCAAAAGGUAAUGAGUUACCUCAAAAAUAUUUCUUCACCAGAAAGAAAUUAUUUGGGGGGUAAGGGGUGAAACAAUAGCAAUUCAAACCACCUUACUCAGGGGUGAAGAGUAACCAUCCAUCGCGCUUGCUUUCCAGCUCUUCAUUCUCUGUUCCCUGCCUUUUCCUCCAAGACCAAAAUUCUUUGCAUGCCCCAAUUCUGGAUCCUCUCUACAACAUUCCCCAAAGGCCUGCUCUUCAGCUCUGGGGGCUAAAGGCAUUCCGAGUCCACAAGCUUUUCAUUAUUGCUUAUAUUUCUUUUCUGCUGACCAUGAUUGCACAUGAACUUGCCAACAAUCUCUACUCAGGAGAGAGAUUCAAUUCUUUUUACGAAGAAAAAUCAUUUGGUACUUUAUUUCUCCAUGAAGCUCUCAUAAUCGAAAGGAGUUCAAUGCAUCCAGCAAGUGACUCAUUUUCCUUAAUGGCUUUCAGACACUGGCAUGCACAUUCCAACAGCCAGAGCAGGGAAGGUAGGACCGCCCCAGGUUAGACAAGGGAGGCUCCAUAUCAGCGUGCCCGGUGGAACAGGCCAGCCGGGAGCAGGGGGCUGCUUUGGAAAGGGCAUAGGCUUGGAAGCAGAUCGUCCUCGAUACACUGUCCACCAGAUAAGUUAGCCUGACUGAGCCUCAGGCUUCUCAUCUACGAAAUGGGAAUACCACCGCAUAGAGUUUCAGUGGGGAAUAAAUGAAAUAACUCUCACGCCUGGCACAUGGUCCAAUGUCAAUAAAUACUUCUGCUUUGCUCAUU